AGUGAACGCUGGCGGUAGGCCUAACACAUGCAAGUCGAACGGCAGCACAGUAAGAGCUUGCUCUUACGGGUGGCGAGUGGCGGACGGGUGAGGAAUACAUCGGAAUCUACUUUUUCGUGGGGGAUAACGUAGGGAAACUUACGCUAAUACCGCAUACGACCUACGGGUGAAAGCAGGGGAUCUUCGGACCUUGCGCGAUUGAAUGAGCCGAUGUCGGAUUAGCUAGUUGGCGGGGUAAAGGCCCACCAAGGCGACGAUCCGUAGCUGGUCUGAGAGGAUGAUCAGCCACACUGGAACUGAGACACGGUCCAGACUCCUACGGGAGGCAGCAGUGGGGAAUAUUGGACAAUGGGCGGAAGCCUGAUCCAGCCAUACCGCGUGGGUGAAGAAGGCCUUCGGGGUGUAAAGCCCUUUUGUUGGGAAAGAAAAGCAGCAGGUUAAUACCCCGCUGUUCUGACGGUACCCAAAGAAUAAGCACCGGCUAACUUCGUG
RNAcentral lists this ribosomal RNA (492 nucleotides) under uncultured bacterium. Its description in RNAcentral is "partial 16S ribosomal RNA". It matches the Rfam family "Bacterial small subunit ribosomal RNA", at positions 29 to 507 of the family's 1533-position model. The record is from RNAcentral.